RNAcentral lists this ribosomal RNA (581 nucleotides) under uncultured bacterium. Its description in RNAcentral is "bacterial SSU rRNA". It matches the Rfam family "Bacterial small subunit ribosomal RNA", at positions 60 to 662 of the family's 1533-position model. The record is from RNAcentral.
AGUCAUCCGUGGCAACACUGGUGAAGACCUAGUGGCGAACGGGUGAGUAACACGUGAGAAACCCACCCCGAUCUCUGGGAUAACAGGUGGAAACACCUGCUAACACCGGAUGCCUUCACCGCAUCGCAUGGCGUGGUGAAGAAAGGUUACGGAUCGGGACGGUCUCGCGGCCUAUCAGCUUGUUGGCGGGGUAAUGGCCCACCAAGGCUUCGACGGGUAGCUGGUCUGAGAGGACGAUCAGCCACACUGGGACUGAGACACGGCCCAGACUCCUACGGGAGGCAGCAGUGGGGAAUCUUGCUCAAUGGGCGAAAGCCUGAAGCAGCAACGCCGCGUGCGGGAUGACGGCCCCCGGGUUGUAAACCGCUUUCAGCAGGGAAGAAAACAGACGGUACCUGCAGAAGAAGGUCCGGCUAACUACGUGCCAGCAGCCGCGGUAACACGUAGGGGCCAAGCGUUGUCCGGAUUCAUUGGGCGUAAAGAGCUCGUAGGCGGUUCAGUUAGUCGGGUGUGAAAUCUCCGGGCUCAACCCGGAGGGGCCACCCCGAUACUGCUGUGACUCGAGUCCGGUAGGGGAGUGG